This 801-nucleotide long non-coding RNA is filed under the name Capra hircus (goat). RNAcentral's name for it is "lncRNA (ENSCHIG00010021240.1)". Lineage: Eukaryota; Metazoa; Chordata; Mammalia; Artiodactyla; Bovidae. The record is from RNAcentral.
UGGAAUGCUUUCAAAUUAAAAAAUAGCAAACAAUAUUAUAUAGAGAGAACCUUUUCUGUUGGAUAAUACAUCCACUGAUACAGAAUGAGCAGUGGAGUAGUCAUUUCACUAAUUUGGUGUCCUAUGGAGCCAGGAGCAGGUAGACUGGUCUAGUAAAUGGAUUUUGUUUCGUUUUCCAAAAAUUAAAUACAUGUAUUGCAUUUCCUGAAGGGCUUGGGGGAAUCUGUUGGAUUUCACAGUGAAUGGGCUUAAUAUCACACAUGUUAUUGUAAACGUCCAUGAUUUGGAAGGGCUUGCUAGAGCUGCGACCAGAUAUAAGGAAUUUACGUGCUUUCUUUUCAGGCCUUAGGGUGGAAGGCAGACCCUCUCGGAUGCGUAAUGUAACAGCGCCGCCUGCUGGUGAUAUUGGACAACAACAAGCACGCUGGUGUGGACACGCACAGAUCCGCUCAAACUGCCUCGUAGAUACUGUGGCUGAGAAUGUCCUUCUCCCUUGCAUAAAAGUUCAACUGUGAUGUAUUUACUGCCUCUCCCAGUAAAUAGAAAAAUAACACACUACUACAUUGAAGGUAUGUUUUACAAUUACCAUUAGCAGCAUUAUUGAACUUUCCAUAAUUGGGGUUCUACAGAGUUAAAUACUUUUAAAACAGGCAACAUAUAUUCUUAUUAUCUCAGUCUCCCAUAAAAACCUGAGUACAAAUUCAGUCACUUAAGUCACUCACAGCUAACCCAGGUACACAGCUGGUAAGAAAAGCUGUCAGUUGCCAUCUCUUCAGCAUGGUCCUACUGCAUGAGUACUAU